UACAGAGGUCCCAAGCGUUGUUCGGAUUCACUGGGCGUAAAGGGUGCGUAGGUGGCCAGGUAAGUUUGGUGUGAAAGCUCGGAGCUUAACUCCGAAAAGUCAUUGAAUACUAUCUGGCUGGAGGGUCGGAGGGGAGACUGGAAUUCUCGGUGUAGCAGUGAAAUGCGUAGAUAUCGAGAGGAACACCAGUGGCGAAGGCGAGUCUCUGGACGACUCCUGACACUGAUGAGCGAAAGCCAGGGGAGCAAACGGG
RNAcentral lists this ribosomal RNA (253 nucleotides) under uncultured bacterium. RNAcentral's name for it is "partial 16S ribosomal RNA". It matches the Rfam family "Bacterial small subunit ribosomal RNA", at positions 524 to 776 of the family's 1533-position model. The record is from RNAcentral.